AAAUUCAAUGGGUUCAUGAGGAUAGAAUUACAUUGUUCACCGCUGAUGGACUGGUGCAGAUUGGAGGCUCCAUCACCCCUCGCCAUGUUAGCUCUUCAGAUGUAGUACCGAAGACUAUUGGAAAAGAUAGGAUGCUGCUCAAGUAAUGGCUCAGUUAGUAUGGGAAGGACUUGGACUCGGAGGAGGGACAGAUGUCCGAAACUGGGGCAGGUAGAAUGAUAAAACCGAUUGUGCUCUUUUGUGUCUAAUGAAUUUCCAUAUGAACUGCUUCUUUCCUUGUU
Arachis duranensis is the source of this 281-nucleotide long non-coding RNA. RefSeq lists it as uncharacterized. NCBI's taxonomy places the organism in Eukaryota, Viridiplantae, Streptophyta, Magnoliopsida, Fabales, Fabaceae. The record is from RefSeq and is a predicted model, not a curated record. The transcript has 3 exons.